This 749-nucleotide non-coding RNA is filed under the name Acyrthosiphon pisum (pea aphid). RNAcentral's name for it is "Eukaryotic large subunit ribosomal RNA". It matches the Rfam family "Eukaryotic large subunit ribosomal RNA", at positions 594 to 1125 of the family's 3401-position model. Lineage: Eukaryota; Metazoa; Arthropoda; Insecta; Hemiptera; Aphididae. The record is from Rfam by way of RNAcentral.
CGGAUCUUUCGCUCGGUUAGCGGACGUCGCGACCCGUUGGGCGCCGGCCGAAUGGCCCGGGUGACGUUCGUCGCGUCGGUCGCGUUUCGGCGUGACCGUUCGCGCCGAGCCCCGGUGCUCAUGGUCGGCUCGCCCGACGGCAAGAACCGUCGACGCGGCCCCGUCGCAGGCGGGGUCCCGUCGGUCGGCGACGUGUUUCGAGCUACUUUCCGACCCGUCUUGAAACACGGACCAAGGAGUCUAACGUGUGCGCGAGUCAACGGUGAUCUUACGAAAAACCACGUUUGGCGCAAUGAAAGUGAACCGUUUACGGUGCGGACGAUGGCCUAGCGACCGAACCCACCGGCGUUCAAAGUCGCGCUGGUCCGCAGUCCGGGGGCGUCUCCGCCAAGUCGGCUUCGGCCGGCUGGGGGCGCACCCUUAUCGCACACGUUUGGUACCCGAAAGAUGGUGAACUAUGCCUGGCCAGGAUGAAGUCAGGGGAAACCCUGAUGGAGGUCCGCAGCGAUUCUGACGUGCUAAUCGAUCGUCUGAGCUGUGUAUAGGGGCGAAAGACUAAUCGAACCAUCUAGUAGCUGGUUCCAUCCGAAGUUUCCCUCAGGAUAGCUGGCGCCGAUGUGUCCCGCCCGUUCGCGGGCGUACUGACGCCGGUGGGACUUCCGCGCUGUACUGCGCGGGUACAACACGUCCGUAACACGGAGGAUGUCUCAUACGUGAAAGCGAAUGAUUUAGAGGACAUUUGGGGCCGA